Molecule: ribosomal RNA, 174 nt
Filed under: Stolephorus sp. CBM ZF 19433
Lineage: Eukaryota; Metazoa; Chordata; Actinopteri; Clupeiformes; Engraulidae
Description: partial 12S ribosomal RNA
Source: RNAcentral
CACCGCGGUUAUACGAGGGGCCCUAGUCGAUGGACACGGCGUAAAGAGUGGUUAUGGGACCCUCUUUUAUUAAAAUUGAAAACCCCUUUAACUGUUAUACGCAUUCAGGGACCUUAAUCUCUCUUACGAAGGUAAUUUUAAUAUUGUCAGCCAGAACCCACGAUAGCCAGGACA